Long non-coding RNA from Neofelis nebulosa (Clouded leopard), 1307 nucleotides. RefSeq lists it as uncharacterized. The record is from RefSeq and is a predicted model, not a curated record. The transcript has 2 exons. Lineage: Eukaryota; Metazoa; Chordata; Mammalia; Carnivora; Felidae.
UUUUUAAAGUUGUAUAGUAUUCCUUUAUAUAGAUAUUCCACUUAUUAUUUAUCUGGUCCCCUCCCUCUGACAUUUAUAUUGACUCCAAAGUUUUGCAGUCACAACAGUUCUAUAGUGCACAUCUAUCCUCGUAAGAAUAUCUUUGUGCAAACAGAAGUAUUUCUAUAGCUUUAUUAUUCAGAGACUGGUGAUUUGGGAACAGUUAUAGACAUAAGUACCAUUAGUAGAUUGCAGAACUAGCCCCAAUUAUGUUCUCUUCCUGGAUCCACACAUUGUAAUGCUGUUCUCCUUUAAUCCUGCAUUUGGCCAGCUCUAUAGGAUAAGUUCCUAGAAGUGGCAUCAUUGGGUCAAGAAUAUGCUCAUUUUAAUUUUAUUUUUUUUACAUUUUAUAUAUUUUUGAUAGAGCACAAGUGGGGGAGGGGCAGAGAGAGACAGAGACACAGAAUCCGAAGGGGGCUCCAGGCUCUGAGCUGUCAGCACACAGCCCGAUGCGGGGCUCAAACUCACAAACCGCAAGAUCAUGACCUGAGCCGAAGUCGGACACUUAACUGACUGAGCCACCCAAGUGCCCCAAGAAUAUGCUUCUUUUAAAUUCUUAAGUUAGUACUAAACUUCCCUGCAAAGAGGGUAUAUCAAUUCAUACUCCCUCCAUCAAAAUAUGAGGGUGCUCAUUCUUUCACAUUCCUGCCACUGGGUAUCAUAGAAUAUAUACAGAUUUGCCAAUCUAGUGGGACAAAAAGAGUUUUUCACUUUUGUUUUCAUUUCUAUUUUCCUGAGUCUAUACAGCUCAGCCACAGGCCCAUUAGCAGAAGAAAGCUUCGUUUGUGAAGACCUGAAGAAGAGCUCAAGAAUGAGUAGCAAAUUUAGGGCAGCCCUGAGGAAGAACUUAAUGCCAGUGAAUGAAUGCUCUCAGGAUCUAGUCAAUAUCCUGCUUAAAGCUAUUCGGUGGCUACUGAAUGACUAUUCCUCAUUAUCCACAUUCCCGGACCCUGCGUGAUCUGGCCUCGUCUUACACAUUGCCCGUUCUUCAACUUGAACCUUUAGGAAUACUGAACCGUUUGUUCACCUGCACACACAUAGCUUUUCAUGGGUUGCGUCUGCUCAUCUCCAACUCAGUUUGCCUAGGGAACUCCUACUCAUUUGGCAGUGCUCUGUUCAGACAUAGAUUCUGUGAGGGUUUCUGUGACCUGUUCCUACCCCCAGGACAAAGAGUCUGUCAGCUCCACUGUAAUGGACUGUGUCCACUAUUCUAGUCACCCCUGAACCCCCGCCCUGCAUUGAUUGAAUGGAUUCCUUUCUUAGCCUGA